Molecule: long non-coding RNA, 494 nt
Organism: Hydra vulgaris (swiftwater hydra)
Lineage: Eukaryota; Metazoa; Cnidaria; Hydrozoa; Anthoathecata; Hydridae
Source: RefSeq, a predicted model, not a curated record
UUACAGAAGUUCAAUGUUUGCUCUGAGAAGUUUAAUGAACAAAUAAAUUAAAUGAUAAAGUUGUAUCCUUGAAAGAUAUGCUGGUAUUAUUGGCACAAUGGGCAAGCAUUAAAGUGCAACUUGGUGAACUACAAAACACAUCAAAUUCAGUUAUAAAAAUUUGAGUAACAAAGGUAUGCUAAUUAUUGUAUUGCCUGAAAGAGUGUCAUUGCCAUUAAAAGCAGCAAAGAAUUCAAGUACUCUGGAAGAAAAAAGACAAGAAAAUACUUUAGUAAAUGGUCAAUUAUUUGGCACAAAUUGGAGUUAAAGGCAAAGUAGAUUGUAUAUGUUAUUUACUAAGAAUUGUUUUUUAAAAUGGCCUAGCUGUAAAAUUAAACUAUACAGGGAGAGGACAAAAAAUUGGAAUAGGAAAAAUGUUGAUUGCAUAUGUUGCUAUUGAAACUGCGAAAUCAAAUAAGCAUGGCUUAUGCAGACAUGUGAUAGAGAUAGCGGAA